Molecule: transfer RNA, 65 nt
Filed under: Musculium lacustre
Lineage: Eukaryota; Metazoa; Mollusca; Bivalvia; Venerida; Sphaeriidae
Description: tRNA-Ile
Source: RNAcentral
AGGUGUUGUGCCAGAUAAAUUGGGUUACUUUGAUGAGGUAAAAUAUAAGGAUUCUUCAAUACUUA